CUACGGGUCGCUGCAGACGAGAAAACUUUGCAAUGUGCGAAAGCACGACAAGGUUAAUCCGAGUGGUUUGUGCUAAACGAACCUUUUGACAGUCCUAGAAACACUGUUGAAUAAGGGGUGGGCAAGUUCUGGUGUCAGCCGCCGCGGUAAAACCAGCACCUCAAGUGGUCAGGAUGAUUAUUGGGCCUAAAGCAUCCGUAGCCGGCUCUGUAAGUUUUCGGUUAAAUCUGUACGCUCAACGUACAGGCUGCCGGGAAUACUGCAGAGCUAGGGAGUGGGAGAGGUAGACGGUACUCGGUAGGAAGGGGUAAAAUCCUUUGAUCUAUUGAUGACCACCUGUGGCGAAGGCGGUCUACAAGAACACGUCCGACGGUGAGGGAUGAAAGCUGGGGGAGCAAACCGGAUUAGAUACCCUAGUAGUC
Molecule: ribosomal RNA, 422 nt
Filed under: uncultured archaeon
Lineage: Archaea
Description: partial 16S ribosomal RNA
Rfam family: Archaeal small subunit ribosomal RNA
Source: RNAcentral